AGCACAGUAUGGCACGAUAAGUAAACGUCUGGUGAGACAAAUUCCAACAAACUGAUUCUGUUAAGGACGGCUCUCCACACUGCCCUGAAGGCUGGUUCCGCAGCUCACUAAAGAAAGCAGCUUGAGUCCAUCCAUGGAAAGGUGAACAGUAUCGCUCACUGACUGCAAUGCUGAAUCAAGUUGUGCUGAGAGGAGCUUGUUCGUGUCUGCCCCCCGACCACCACCACC
RNAcentral lists this long non-coding RNA (228 nucleotides) under Struthio camelus australis. RNAcentral's name for it is "lncRNA (ENSSCUG00000017263.1)". The record is from RNAcentral. Lineage: Eukaryota; Metazoa; Chordata; Aves; Struthioniformes; Struthionidae.